GACGAGGUAGAUAGGUUGGAGGUGGAAGUGCAGCAAUGCAUGGAGCUGACCAAUACUAAUCGGUCGAGGGCUUAUCCAAGAAC
Molecule: ribosomal RNA, 83 nt
Filed under: Paenibacillus sp. S150
Lineage: Bacteria; Bacillati; Bacillota; Bacilli; Caryophanales; Paenibacillaceae
Description: partial 23S ribosomal RNA
Rfam family: Bacterial large subunit ribosomal RNA
Source: RNAcentral